This 225-nucleotide ribosomal RNA is filed under the name uncultured bacterium. RNAcentral describes it as "partial 16S ribosomal RNA". It matches the Rfam family "Bacterial small subunit ribosomal RNA", at positions 109 to 334 of the family's 1533-position model. The record is from RNAcentral.
AGUAACGCGUGGGUAACCUGCCUUGUACAGGGGGAUAACAGUUGGAAACGGCUGCUAAUACCGCAUAAGCGCACAGCAUCGCAUGAUGCAGUGUGAAAAACUCCGGUGGUAUAAGAUGGACCCGCGUUGGAUUAGCUAGUUGGUGAGGUAACGGCCCACCAAGGCGACGAUCCAUAGCCGACCUGAGAGGGCGACCGGCCACAUUGGGACUGAGACACGGCCCAA